Molecule: transfer RNA, 66 nt
Filed under: Typhlatya arfeae
Lineage: Eukaryota; Metazoa; Arthropoda; Malacostraca; Decapoda; Atyidae
Description: tRNA-Phe
Rfam family: tRNA
About the family: Transfer RNA (tRNA) molecules are approximately 80 nucleotides in length.
Source: RNAcentral
ACUUAUAUAGCUUAUAGAAAGCGCUACAUUGAAGCUGUAGAGAAGGUAGUUACCGACCUUUAAGUG